AAUAAAAUUCUUCCAUGUGUAGCAUUUGGAAUCCGUAAUUAAAGCUAAAAUACCAGGCAUCAUUUCACUCAUAAACAAAGGUAUUGAUGAGAUGGAAGCAGAGUUAGACCAUCUUGGCAGACCAAUUGCAAUUGAUGCUGGGGCUCAACUUUAUACCAUCUUGGAACUUUGUCGUGCUUUUAACAAAAUAUUUAAGGAACAUCUAGAUGGAGGGUAAGCAAUAUCUCAUUAAUUGCUAAACAUGUUUAAUUUUGUUGCAUUUCAUUAAAUUUGGAUUUAUAAUGUCAGCCGACCUGGAGGUGACCGGAUAUAUGGAGUGUUUGACCUCUAACUUCCUGCCAGGAAGCUUCCGUUUGAUAAGCAUCUUUCCCUACAAAAUGUGAGGAAACUUGUUUCAGAGGCAGAUGGUUAUCAGCCACAUUUAAUUGCUCCCGAACAAGGUUAUAGAUGUUAGCCUAUUAAUCCACUUAAUUAUUGGAUCCUUAUUUGUUACUAGUUAUGGGUCAAGUAUGUAAAUAGUAUAAAGUAAGUUUAAGUCACAUAUGUAUUUGUAUUAAGUAGAAGGGUCAAAUGUGCAGCCUUUAAAGUUUGAAACUGAUUUGUGAAGGGACACGAUGGUUCACAAAACAACACAUCGGUUCUUCAUGUCUCUGCACAUGUAUAUAUAUAUGUCAAAGUCAAUGUAAACAGUUAAUGUGUAUGGUAGUUUCUGUUUUCAAUAUAAUAUUCCCACUAUUAUUAUUAUAUCAUUUCUUUCAUUCUCAUUUCAAUAUUACUACAAACGAUCUACUGCAAACAUGAUGAAAACUAACAAACCAAAGAAGAUCUUGGGAAACCCACUGUGUAUCAAUAGACGACUUAUUAAGGGAUCGAUAAAUUAUUUUAGGGGACCAGCAGAAGCGUCUGUAGAUGCAGUAAGUAGUUAUUCUUUACUAUUUGUUUCGAAUGGGUUAUAUAGCAUCCAACUACUAUGUAAAUUGAUAAGUGUUUGUAUCUUAUGUGUACAUUACUUGGGAACCACUCUUCAGGUGCAUUUCGUCCUAAAAGAACUCGUGAGGAAGUCAAUUGCAUGAAAGUGUUCUAUAUUAUAUUUUUUUAAAUAUACUUUAUGUCAUAAAUUAAAUGGGAUGUGUAUUUUAUGCCAUGAUUAUAACUUAAUAAGAGAAAUUAACAUAGAUUUUAUAAUUUAAAUAUGACUCGACAAGUGGAUGCGCAUCACUACUGUGGCCAUCUGUCGGAAGAAAUGCGACAAUGUCUAAUCUACAACCGGCUCGAUGUCGAUGCGCGGUUGAUCGGCUGGAGUACAAAGUGACGUAAAGAACUGUUUUUAGCUCUUCCUGACACGGAAAAACCGAUGUGGCAUAGCCACAAGUACGAGGUGACGAGCGACGUGCUCUUUCUUCCUGGUUUUGGCUGCCCCGGUUAAAUGAAAAGAUCUUGAGAAAGUGGCGAAAACGUACAGAAAGAAGAUUCAUUUUUGGCAGGUGGAUAGAGGUACCGUAGGUGAUGAUACAGAAAGAAGAUUCAUUUUUGGCAGGUGGAUAGAGGUACCUUAGGUGAUGAUGGCGCUAACACGAGAUGGCCAACUCUACCCGAACCUUGCUAAAGACGUUCACCGAAGCAGAUAGUAAAGGUGAUGGUAGGAUCGACCAAGAAGAAUGGAGAGAAUACGUAAACAAAAACCCAUCGUUGUUGAAGAACAUGACUCUUCCUCAUUUAAUAUUUUCAGGGACAUAACUUUGAGGUUUCCAAGCUUUGUGAUGAACAGCCAGGGAGAGGAGACGUACACGACAGGCUAAAACAGUCUUUUUCGUACGUGAUCAACGUGUAAAAAAUGUAUCCAAAGUGUGAAAGAGCAUGCCUGCCUUCCUUUUAUACGAGCAGUUAAGAUAAAACUUGGUUCUGUUUCAUCAUUUUGGAUGCCUAUUUCUACUUUGGUAAUUGGGAGUUAAAUGUUAGCCACUACAUGAUGGACAGAAACAUGAAUAAAAAUGUUGAUUUUGGAAGCCA
This is a long non-coding RNA of Helianthus annuus (common sunflower), 2010 nucleotides long. RefSeq lists it as uncharacterized. NCBI's taxonomy places the organism in Eukaryota, Viridiplantae, Streptophyta, Magnoliopsida, Asterales, Asteraceae. The record is from RefSeq and is a predicted model, not a curated record. The transcript has 4 exons.